Molecule: ribosomal RNA, 471 nt
Filed under: uncultured bacterium
Lineage: Bacteria
Description: bacterial SSU rRNA
Rfam family: Bacterial small subunit ribosomal RNA
Source: RNAcentral
GACGAACGCUGGCUGCGUGCUUAACACAUGCAAGUCGAACGCUGAAGCCUGGUGCUUGCACCGGGUGGAUGAGUGGCGAACGGGUGAGUAACACGUGAGUAACCUGCCCCCUGACUUCGGGGAUAAGCCCGGGAAACUGGGUCUAAUACCGGAUACGACUGCCGGACGCAUGUCUGGUGGUGGAAAGUUUUUCGGUUGGGGAUGGGCUCGCGGCCUAUCAGUUUGUUGGUGAGGUAAUGGCUCACCAAGACGACGACGGGUAGCCGGCCUGAGAGGGCGACCGGCCACACUGGGACUGAGACACGGCCCAGACUCCUACGGGAGGCAGCAGUGGGGAAUAUUGCACAAUGGGGAAAACCCUGAUGCAGCGACGCAGCGUGCGGGAUGACGGCCUUCGGGUUGUAAACCGCUUUCAGCAGGGAAGAAGCGCAAGUGACGGUACCUGCAGAAGAAGUACCGGCUAACUACGUG